This 448-nucleotide ribosomal RNA is filed under the name uncultured bacterium. Its description in RNAcentral is "partial 16S ribosomal RNA". It matches the Rfam family "Bacterial small subunit ribosomal RNA", at positions 329 to 794 of the family's 1533-position model. The record is from RNAcentral.
CGCCAGACUCCUACGGGAGGCAGCAGUGGGGAAUAUUGCACAAUGGGGGAAACCCUGAUGCAGCGACGCCGCGUGAGCGAUGAAGUAUUUCGGUAUGUAAAGCUCUAUCAGCAGGGAAGAAGAUGACGGUACCUGACUAAGAAGCCCCGGCUAACUACGUGCCAGCAGCCGCGGUAAUACGUAGGGGGCAAGCGUUAUCCGGAUUUACUGGGUGUAAAGGGAGCGUAGACGGCGAUGCAAGCCAGGAGUGAAAGCCCGGGGCCCAACCCCGGGACUGCUCUUGGAACUGCGCGGCUGGAGUGCAGGAGGGGCAGGCGGAAUUCCUGGUGUAGCGGUGAAAUGCGUAGAUAUCAGGAGGAACACCGGUGGCGAAGGCGGCCUGCUGGACUGCGACUGACGUUGAGGCCCGAAAGCGUGGGGAGCAAACAGGAUUAGAUACCCCUGUAAC